RNAcentral lists this ribosomal RNA (521 nucleotides) under uncultured Glomus. RNAcentral describes it as "SSU rRNA". It matches the Rfam family "Eukaryotic small subunit ribosomal RNA", at positions 569 to 1092 of the family's 1831-position model. The record is from RNAcentral. Lineage: Eukaryota; Fungi; Glomeromycota; Glomeromycetes; Glomerales; Glomeraceae.
AGCAGCCGCGGUAAUUCCAGCUCCAAUAGCGUAUAUUAAAGUUGUUGCAGUUAAAAAGCUCGUAGUUGAAUUUCGGGGUCAGUAGGUCGGUCGUGCCACUGGUAUGAACUGGUUUCACUGAUUCCUCCCUCUUGUAGAACCGUGAUGCCAUUAAUUUGGUGUUGCGGGGAAACAGGACUGUUACUUUGAAAAAAUUAGAGUGUUUAAGGCAAGCUAACGCUUGAAUACAUUAGCAUGGAAUAAUGAAAUAGGACGUCUGUCUUAUUUUGUUGGUUUCUAGGAUGGACGUAAUGAUUAAUGGGGAUAGUUGGGGGCAUUAGUAUUCAAUUGUCAGAGGUGAAAUUCUUGGAUUUAUUGAAGACUAACUACUGCGAAAGCAUUUGCCAAGGAUGUUUUCAUUAAUCAAGAACGAAAGUUAGGGGAUCGAAGACGAUCAGAUACCGUCGUAGUCUUAACCAUAAACUAUGCCGACUAGGGAUCGGAUGAUGUUAAUUUUUUAAUGACUCAUUCGGCGCCUUACG